GACGAACGCUGGCGGCGUGCCUAAUACAUGCAAGUUGAGCGCUGAAGGUUGGUACUUGUACCGACUGGAUGAGCAGCGAACGGGUGAGUAACGCGUGGGGAAUCUGCCUUUGAGCGGGGGACAACAUUUGGAGACGAAUGCUAAUACCGCAUAAAAACUUUAAACACAAGUUUUAAGUUUGAAAGAUGCAAUUGCAUCACUCAAAGAUGAUCCCGCGUUGUAUUAGCUAGUUGGUGAGGUAAAGGCUCACCAAGGCGAUGAUACAUAGCCGACCUGAGAGGGUGAUCGGCCACAUUGGGACUGAGACACGGCCCAAACUCCUACGGGAGGCAGCAGUAGGGAAUCUUCGGCAAUGGACGAAAGUCUGACCGAGCAACGCCGCGUGAGUGAAGAAGGUUGUCGGAUCGUAAAACUCUGUUGGUAGAGAAGAACGUUGGUGAGAGUGGAAAGCUCAUCAAGUGACGGUAACUACCCAGAAAGGGACGGCUAACUACGUG
This 497-nucleotide ribosomal RNA is filed under the name uncultured bacterium. Its description in RNAcentral is "partial 16S ribosomal RNA". It matches the Rfam family "Bacterial small subunit ribosomal RNA", at positions 28 to 507 of the family's 1533-position model. The record is from RNAcentral.